Molecule: ribosomal RNA, 500 nt
Filed under: Haliphron atlanticus
Lineage: Eukaryota; Metazoa; Mollusca; Cephalopoda; Octopoda; Alloposidae
Description: partial 16S ribosomal RNA
Rfam family: Bacterial large subunit ribosomal RNA
Source: RNAcentral
GUCUCUUUGAUUUAUUUAAUAAAGAGUUGGGCCUGCUCGGUGAGAUAUUUAACAGCUGCGGUAUUAUAACUGUACUAAGGUAGCAUAAUAAAUUGCCUUAUAAAUUAAGGCUAGAAUGAAUGGUUUGACGAGAAUUGAACUGUCUCUAAUUUAAUUAAUUGAAAUUAAUUUUUAAAGUGAGAAAGCUUAAAUAAUAUAAAGGGACGAGAAGACCCUAUUGAGUUUAUAUUAUGUUUUUAAUUUUAUUUAAAUAAAAUUAAAUAAUAAUAAUUUUUGGUUGGGGUGAUCAAGGAAUAAAUAAUUUAUUUAGUAACUUCCUUAUUGUGUAUUUAUUUGUGGGUUAAUAAACCAAAUGUUUUGAUUAAAGGAUAAGUUACCAUAGGGAUAACAGCGUAAUUUUUUUUGAGAGUUCAUAUUAAAAAAAAAGGUUGCGACCUCGAUGUUGGAUUAAAAUAACCUUAAGGUGGAGAAGCUUUAAAUGGUGAAUCUGUUCGAUUUUU